AGAGUUUGAUCCUGGCUCAGGAUGAACGCUGGCGGCGUGCUUUAUGCAUGCAAGUCGAACGGUCUCGAUUUAUCGGGAUAGUGGCGAACGGGUGAGUAACGCGUAAGUAACCUGCCCUCAAGUAGGGGAUAACUCUGAGAAAUUGGAGCUAAUACCUUAUGUGGUGAUGGAGUUAGUGCGCCAUCACUAAAGCCUUAGGGUGCUUGAGGAGGGGCUUGCGUCCGAUUAGCUAGUUGGUAAGGUAAUGGCUUACCAAGGCGAUGAUCGGUAGCUGGUUUGAGAGGACGACCAGCCACACUGGGAUUGAGAUACGGCCCAGACUCCUACGGGAGGCAGCAGCAAGGAAUAUUGUGCAAUGGGCGAAAGCCUGACACAGCGACGCCGCGUGGGGGAUGAAGGCUUUCGGGUUGUAAACCCCUUUUCUCAGGGAAGAAUAAUGACGGUACCUGAGGAAUAAGUCACGGCUAACUACGUGCCAGCAGCCGCGGUAAUACGUAGGUGGCGAGCGUUAUCCGGAUUCACUGGGUUUAAAGGGUGCGUAGGCGGGCAUAUAAGUCAGUGGUGAAAUCCCCGAGCUUAACUUGGGAACUGCCGUUGAUACUAUGUGUCUUGAAUAUCGCGGAGGUAAGCGGAAUAUGUCAUGUAGCGGUGAAAUGCAUAGAUAUGACAUAGAACACCGAUUGCGAAGGCAGCUUACUACACGAUCAUUGACGCUGAGGCACGAAAGCGUGGGGAGCAAACAGGAUUAGAUACCCUGGUAGUCC
This 764-nucleotide ribosomal RNA is filed under the name uncultured bacterium. RNAcentral's name for it is "bacterial SSU rRNA". It matches the Rfam family "Bacterial small subunit ribosomal RNA", at positions 8 to 796 of the family's 1533-position model. The record is from RNAcentral.